Molecule: small nucleolar RNA, 140 nt
Filed under: Ochotona princeps (American pika)
Lineage: Eukaryota; Metazoa; Chordata; Mammalia; Lagomorpha; Ochotonidae
Description: Small nucleolar RNA SNORA74 (ENSOPRG00000023059.1)
Source: RNAcentral
CCCAGCUCCUACCAAUUGCCUAGGUUGCAUUGUACCUAGGUAAGUGUUAUACUGCUGGGGGAAAAGCAGCCAAUAGCUGGCAGGCAUGCUGGACUUGGCUAAUUCCAAACUUGGGUUAACUAUGCCAGUAUGCUAGCAUA